This 696-nucleotide ribosomal RNA is filed under the name Xanthoparmelia protomatrae. Its description in RNAcentral is "SSU rRNA". It matches the Rfam family "Bacterial small subunit ribosomal RNA", at positions 375 to 1037 of the family's 1533-position model. The record is from RNAcentral. Lineage: Eukaryota; Fungi; Ascomycota; Lecanoromycetes; Lecanorales; Parmeliaceae.
GCAAUAGCUAGUUGCAUCAUAGUAGAUAUGAUGCAAGAUCGACUAUGUUGAAUAAAAUUCUAGGUAGAAUUAUGAUAAUGACAUUGUCUGCCUAUGUGUCUUGACCAAAUUACGUGCCAGCAGUCGCGGUAAUACGUAGAAGACUAGUGUUAUUCAUGUUUAAUCGGUUUAAAGGGUACCUAGACGGUAGAUCAAGCUUUCUAAUAAAGGAAAAGGACUAGUUUACUAGAGUUACUUAUGAGGGGGUAUUAAAGUACUGCUGGUGUAGAGAUGAAAUUCUGUCAUACCUCUUUUCAAAAGAAAAACCAUGGCACAGGUAUAGGCGAAGGCAUCCCCUUAUGUGAUAACUGACGUUGAGGGACGAAGGCUUUGUGUAGCGAACAGGAUUAGAUACCCCAGUAGUCGAAGCAGAAAAUGAUGAAUGUCAUAGAUUAGAUAUAUAAGUUUAUUCUAUAAAUGAAAGUGUAAGCAUUCCACCUCAUGAGUAAUUUGGCAACAUUGGAACUGAAAUCAUUAGACCGUUUCUGAAACCAGUAGUGAAGUAUGUUGUUUAAUUUGAUGUCCCGCAAAAAACCUUACCACAAUUUGAAUAUUUAUAUUGUUUAUUGUUUUAUUCUUAAUUUUCUUGAACGUAAAAAUCACGUUAAAGAAAAGAGAGAAGGAUAAUAGUAAGAAAAUUAAGAAAAAAGCAAUAAG